RNAcentral lists this ribosomal RNA (253 nucleotides) under uncultured bacterium. Its description in RNAcentral is "partial 16S ribosomal RNA". It matches the Rfam family "Bacterial small subunit ribosomal RNA", at positions 524 to 776 of the family's 1533-position model. The record is from RNAcentral.
UACGUAGGUGGCAAGCGUUGUCCGGAUUUACUGGGCGUAAAGAAUGCGUAGGUGGAUAUUUAAGUGGGAUGUGAAAUCCCCGGGCUCAACCCGGGAACUGCAUUCCAAACUGGAUAUCUGGAGUGCAGGAGAGGAAAGUGGAAUUCCUAGUGUAGCGGUGAAAUGCGUAGAUAUUAGGAGGAACACCAGUGGCGAAGGCGACUUUCUGGACUGUAACUGACACUGAGGCAUGAAAGCGUGGGGAGCAAACAGG